AUUGAACGCUGGCGGCAUGCUUUACACAUGCAAGUCGGACGGCAGCGGGGGUGCUUGCACCUGCCGGCGAGUGGCGAACGGGUGAGUAACAUAUUGGAAUGUACCGAGUAGUGGGGGAUAACCAAUCGAAAGAUUGGCUAAUACCGCAUACGUCCUAAGGGGGAAAGCAGGGGAUCUUCGGACCUUGCGCUAUUUGAGCAGCCAAUAUCUGAUUAGCUAGUUGGUGGGGUAAGGGCCCACCAAGGCGAUGAUCAGUAGCGGGUCUGAGAGGAUGAUCCGCCACACUGGGACUGAGACACGGCCCAGACUCCUACGGGAGGCAGCAGUGGGGAAUUUUGGACAAUGGGGGCAACCCUGAUCCAGCCAUGCCGCGUGUCUGAAGAAGGCCUUCGGGUUGUAAAGGACUUUUGUCAGGGAAGAAAAGGGCGGGGUUAAUACCCCUGUCUGAUGACGGACCUGAAGAAUAAGCACCG
Molecule: ribosomal RNA, 473 nt
Filed under: Kingella sp. oral taxon E51
Lineage: Bacteria; Pseudomonadati; Pseudomonadota; Betaproteobacteria; Neisseriales; Neisseriaceae
Description: bacterial SSU rRNA
Rfam family: Bacterial small subunit ribosomal RNA
Source: RNAcentral